GGGUCAUCCAAGAAAGCAGAAAGAGGAAAAGAAAAAUGAGGCACCCGCGGAUAGGAUGGAGCAUCUAGGCUCUUUUCACAGCCACUAUUCCUUAUUUCUUGCUGGAGUAUUGGCACCUUUAAAAGCCUUGGCUGUCCUUCCCAACCUCCCCACUCAAUCACAAACCACAGUGCCUAGAAGAAAAGCAAGGGAGGAAAAAAAAAAAAUCAAUGCGCUAAAUCUUCCCUGGGCUCAGUAGCAACUCCUGCAGCAGCUUCCAUCUCUGGCCACAGAACUGAGCUCUCCAGCCUUCCAAACUUGCAGGUUAAAAAUAUGCCUCUCUCAGAGUUCCCGUUUUGGCUCAGUGGUUAACGAAUCUGACUAGGAACUGUGAGGUUGUGGGUUCGAUCCCUGGCCUCCCUCAGUGGGUUAAGGAUCCAGUGUUGCUGUGAGCUGGGGUGUAGGUCACAGCCCCAUGGGAUCCAAGCUGAGUCUGCAACCUACACCACAGCCACGCCGGAUCCCUGACCCACUGAGUGAGGCCUGGGACUGUGGAUCCGUUUCCCCUGAGUCAUGGCAGGAACUCCUGUUACAGCGAUCUUAUUUGUCCUUUCUCGUACUUGCCACAAUUUUGAAAUUUUAUUUGUAUGAUUUAUUUCUCCCUUCAACUUUAUUGCAUGCCUAGCGUAUGUCUGUAUUAGUUUGCUAGGGCUGUCAUAAGAAAACGCCACAGGCUGGGUGGCUUCAGCAACUGAAACAUCUUCUCUCAGUUCUGAAAGCUGGGAAUCAGAAAUUAAGUUGCUGGCAGGUCUGGUUUCUCCCAAGGCCACCUUCUUGCCAUGUCCUCACGUGGUCUUUGUGUGUGGAUACAUCUCUGUUCUCAUCUCCUCUUCUUAUACAGACGCCAGUCUUCUUGGAUAAGGGCCCCACCCUUGUGGCCUCAUUUAGCCUUAAGUGCCUAUUUAAACACCUGCUAUGGACUGAAUGUCUUUGUUCCCCCAAACCCUUAUGUUGAAAUCUAAUUCCCAUUGCGAUGGUAUUGGGGGGCUGGGGCUUUGAGGAAGGUACUAGAUCAUGAUGGUAGAGCCAUCGUGAAUGGCAUUCAUGCCCUUAUAAGAAGAGAUGACAGAGCUGGCUGGUUCUCUUUUUUGCCACGUGAGGCUGCAGUGAGCAUUGGCAAUCUGCAACCAGGGAGGGCUCUCUUUCUCUCCCAGGGAGAACCCAGCUGUCCUGGCACCCUGAUCUCAGACUUCCAGCCUCCAGAUCUGGGAGAGAUAAAUGUCUAGCCGUUCACAAGCCACCCAGUCCAUGGCAUUUUAUUAUAGCAGCCUGAGCCCCACCAAGGCCUUCUCUUCAUGUUCAAUCCCUCUGGGGGUUAGGGUUUGUGUAAAUUUGGGGGGCUCACAGUGCAGCCCCACCACGGUGCCCCACACUGAAUACAUACUGAUGAGCAAGACAGAGAGGGUCCCUGUCCUCAAGGAGCCUACAGUGUGGGUGGGAUGGUGAGUAAGUGGACUUGAUAAUACACAAGAACACUAAGGGAAGAAUAUGUGGUAACAGAUGAUCAGAAGUACUCAGAGGAGGAGUUCCCACUUUCUGGCACAGCAGAAAGGAAUCCAACUAAUAUCCAUGAGGAUGUGGGUUCCAUCCCUGGCCUCCUGUCGUGGGUCAGGGAUCCUGUGUUGCUGUGAGCUGUGGUGUUGGUUGCAGACACGGCUUGGAUUCCAAGUGGCUGUGGCUGUGGUGUAGGCUGGCAGCUGUAGCUCUGAUUCAACCUCUCACUGGGAACUUUCAUAUGCAGCCCUAAAAAACAAAACAAAACAAAAAGAAGUACUCAAGGGAAAAGACAAGAGAGGAGAGCCCUAAAUGUAGGCUCAGGAGUGAGGCAAGGCCUCUUUGAGAAGAUGUUUUCAGGUUAAGACCUCAAGGCUAAGAAACAGCCAUGUCAAUGUCUUCCCCUGUGCUGUGCCCUCUGCCAGGGGCGGGCACUCAGGUGGGAAAGAGUUUGGUCCCUUUGAGAAGAAUGAAGGAAGCCGGGAUCAUGGGAAGGGAGUGAGUGACAUGGAGAAGUUCAAAAAGUAGGCAGAGGCAAGACUGCACGGAGCCUCGUGGCCCUGAUAAGGAUUUAGGUCAAUCUAAGGACAAUAGGAAAAAUUUUUAAAGAUUUUAACCAGAAUAGCUAUGGCAUGACUGCUGCUAUGGGAGAAUGGACUUUAUGGAGGUGACUAUAGAAGAAAGUGUUGAACUUCCAAUGAAUGCAUCCAUGGUGGGACGGUACCAGCUUAGAUCAGCAUGGUGGCGGGGGAGCCGGGGAGAAACUGGUCCAAGAGGAAACUCCAGAAUUCAGCUCUGAACACACAUGUUUGAGACCUUCAAGCAGAUGUGUCCAGCACUCAGUGAUACAAUCUAGGGGUUAAAAGGGUGAGGAAUAGGCUGGAGCUGGAUGGAUGGUGACUCCUUGGACCUCAGGGUCAAAGGGUCAAGUCAGCAUAUAAAGUCAAAGCAUACACAGAAGUUAUUUUUGAGGGAGUUUCCACUGUGAUGCAGUGGGUUAAGAACCUGAAAGCAGAUGCUCAGGUCAUUGCAGAGGCACAGGUUUAAUCCCCAGCUCAGAUGCAGCAGGUUAAGGAUACAGCGUGGCCACAGCUAUAGCUUGGAUUCAGUCCCUAGCCCAGGAAAUUCCAUAUGCCAUGGAUGCAGCCAAAAGAAAGGAUGGACACAAGGAAAGAAGGAAAAAAAUUACCUUCGAAAAAUUCUAACAUUUUCGUAUCUGCGCCUUUGGAAACUCAAAUGCCAGGGUCCACUUCUUUUGCUCUUUGCAUUGUGGCCACUAUUCCCUUUUCCCCUCACCCCCAGCAACAUCUUCUCUGGGUGAACAGAAACUUAAAUCUGGUUUGUGGAAAUAGGAAAAAGAGAAGAAGGUUUUUCCUUUGUCACGUGAGUGGAGUUGAAAUCACUGAUGACGUAAUACAGCUUUAGUGUAUAUGCUCGAGACUCAUCAGCAAAGACAUGGCUUAUAAAAUUAUGCUAAUGGAGUUCCCUGGUGGUUCAGCAGGUGAAGGAUCCAGCAUUGUCACUGCUGUGGCGUGGGUUCGAUCCCUGGGCCAGGAACUUCCAUGUGCUGUGAGGGUGGCCUAAAUAAAUACAUAAAUAAAAUUAUGGGAAUGAAUAAGGCCACCUAGGGUGAGCAUGCAGCAAAACGGGGGCUGCAUUAGUUCCCUAGGGCUUCCAAAACCAAGCACCACAAAUGAGUGACUUAAAACAACUGAAAUGUCUUCUUUCAUAGUUCUGGAGACUAGAAGUCAGAAAUCGAGGUGUUGGAGUUCCCCUUGUGGAGCAGCAGAAAUGAAUCAGAGUGGGAACCAUGAGGUUGCAGGUUCAAUCCCUGGCACUGGCAUUGCCAUGAGCUGUGGCAUAGGUUGCAAAUGCAGCUCAGAUCUGGCAUUGCUGUGGCUGUGGCGAAGGCCAGUGGCUACAGCUCUGAUUAGACCCCUAGCCUGGGAACCUCCAUAUGCCGCGGAUGUGGCCCUAAAAAGACAAAAAAUAAAUAAAUAAAUCAAAGUGUCGUUGGGGCCAUGCUCCCUCUGAAAACUGCUGGGCAGAAUCCUCCUUCUAGCUCCUGCUGUUUGCAGGCAAUCCUCAGCAGUCCCUGGCUUGUAGAUGUGUCACACGAAUACCCCCCUCUUCUGUUGUCCUGAGGCUUCCCCUGCUCACGUGUCCAUGUCUUCAUGGGGCGCUCCAUUUCCUCUGCAUCUCUCUCUCUUCUAAGUAAGAGGACAGCAGUCCUAUUAGAUUAAGGGCCACUCCCAUUCCAUUAUGACCUCGUCUUAACUAAUUAUAUCUCAUUUCCAAAACUCAUUUCCAAAACUCAUUCAUCCUGAGGGGGUUAGGACUUCAACACAUCUUUUGGGGGCAAAACUCAAGCCAUAACAAAGGUCUUGGGACAAGCUCUGAGACACACAGGUCAACAUCAGAGGUCAGGCGUGCUGGUCAAGGGUGAAAAGGCUAGCCUUGCAACACCUGUCUUUUCCACUGGGUCUGUGGUCCUGUUAACAGCCUAUCUUUCCCUUCAGAAUAUGAGACCCGGAGAGACAGGCGCUGGAGUUCCCGUUGUGGCUCAGCAGUAACAAACCCAACUAGCAUCCAUGAGGACGUGGGUUUGAUCCCUGACCUCGCUCAGUGGGUUAAGAAUCUAAAACUGCCGUGAGCUGUAGUGUAGGUCACAGAUGUUGUUUAGAUCCCACGUUGCUGUGACUGUGGUGUCGGCUGACAGCUGAAGCUUUGAUUCAACCCCUAAUUUGGGAACUUCCAUAUGCAGCCCUAAAAAGACACACACAAAAAGGGGGGACUCCCCCUUUCUUGUUCACCACUGUCCCCCAUCAACUGUCCAUGGGUAACAGGUGUGGAACUAAGUUAUUUUUGUCGUAACUUCCUAAACCACAGACUUCAUUUCUUACAGGAAAAAGUUCACAUUUCCAGAGAAAUUUUACCAGCAAUCUUUGCUUGCAUGCACUUCCUUUUCUGACCACAUCUGAGUUUAUUCAGGGUUUACUCACCUUCCUAAGGCUGGACAGUGCUUCAUGUGACAGGAACGGCCACCACCUAAGACUACACACACGAUGCCUCCGGUUCACCUCUUUGCCCUGGUCGUUUUAUGAACACUCCUGGUCUACUUCAGUCCUCUUGAAAAGACAUCUCUCCAGAGUACACGCCUUGGUGCGAUUAUUGUAAACUGCUCCCUAACCUCCGUGUGCAAAAACGGCCCCAUUUCUUUCGUUUUUUUUCUAAUUCAUUGCUCCAGUGUCUAAAUGACUUCUGAGCCAAAAGCAGGCGACUCUCUUGGGAAUUUUCCCUCCCCUCCCAAGGAUUCUGGAGGUUUAUGGUCCAAGAGGAGCCGGUAUGGUCUCCAUACCCAAGAGGAGAGAGGUUUUCUCAUCUGACUGGUACUGCAGUUGGCUCUCAUUACCACAGGGUGUCGCUGUGGCAGACUUGCUCUGAGCCCUCUGACCGAAGAUGCUGAUUUGCUCUGGAUGGAGCCUCCUAGAAGGCUCAGAUCCCAUUACAAGCUGUUGUGGGUCCUUAUGGAGAACAAUCCCAUACCCAUCGUGCUAUAGGUUAUAAAAGUGUUCGGAGUUCCCGUCGUGGCUCAGUGGUUCUGACUAGCAACCAUGAGGUUGUGGUUUCCAUCCCUGGCCUUGCUCAGCGGGUUAAGGAUCUGGCGUUGCCGUGAGCUGCGGUGUAGGUCGCAGACGCGGCUCGGAUCCCCCGUUAGUGUGGCUGUGGUGUAGGCUGGCUGCUACAGCUCCGAUUAUACCCAGCUGGGAACCUCCAUAUGCCGCGGGAGCAGCCCUAGAAAAGGCAAAAAGACAAAAAAAAAAAAAAAAAAAAAAAAAAAAAAAA
RNAcentral lists this long non-coding RNA (5379 nucleotides) under Sus scrofa (pig). Its description in RNAcentral is "lncRNA (ENSSSCG00055021871.1)". Lineage: Eukaryota; Metazoa; Chordata; Mammalia; Artiodactyla; Suidae. The record is from RNAcentral.